AGCGAACGCUGGCGGCAGGCUUAACACAUGCAAGUCGAGCGGGCACUUUCGGGUGUCAGCGGCGGACGGGUGAGUAACGCGUGGGAACGUGCCCUCUGGUUCGGAAUAACUCAGGGAAACUUGAGCUAAUACCGGAUACGCCCUUUUGGGGAAAGGCUUGCUGCCGGAGGAUCGGCCCGCGUCUGAUUAGCUAGUUGGUGAGGUAACGGCUCACCAAGGCGACGAUCAGUAGCUGGUCUGAGAGGAUGAUCAGCCACACUGGGACUGAGACACGGCCCAGACUCCGACGGGAGGCAGCAGUGGGGAAUAUUGGACAAUGGGCGCAAGCCUGAUCCAGCCAUGCCGCGUGAGUGAUGAAGGCCUUAGGGUUGUAAAGCUCUUUUAUCCGGGACGAUAAUGACGGUACCGGAGGAAUAAGCCCCGGCUAACUUCGU
This 434-nucleotide ribosomal RNA is filed under the name uncultured bacterium. Its description in RNAcentral is "partial 16S ribosomal RNA". It matches the Rfam family "Bacterial small subunit ribosomal RNA", at positions 29 to 506 of the family's 1533-position model. The record is from RNAcentral.